RNAcentral lists this ribosomal RNA (470 nucleotides) under uncultured bacterium. Its description in RNAcentral is "bacterial SSU rRNA". It matches the Rfam family "Bacterial small subunit ribosomal RNA", at positions 28 to 507 of the family's 1533-position model. The record is from RNAcentral.
GACGAACGCUGGCGGCGUGCCUAACACAUGCAAGUCGAGCGGGGUUGAAGCGAGGGGUAACUCGGACUUCUACCUAGCGGCGGACGGGUGAGUAACGCGUGGGCAACCUGCCUCAAGGUUUGGGAUAACAGCUCGAAAGGGCUGCUAAUACCGGAUAUGCCUGUGGCCUCGCAUGGGGCUAUGAGCAAAGGGGAAACCCGCCUUGAGAUGGGCCCGCGUCCCAUCAGCUAGUUGGUGAGGUGAAGGCUCACCAAGGCGACGACGGGUAGCCGGCCUGAGAGGGUGACCGGCCACACUGGGACUGAGACACGGCCCAGACUCCUACGGGGGGCAGCAGUGGGGGAUCUUGCACAAUGGGCGAAAGCCUGAUGCAGCGACGCCGCGUGAGCGAAGAAGGCCUCGGUUGUAAGCUCUGUCUGGAGGACGAGAAAAUGACGGUACCUCCGGAGGAAGCCACGGCUAACUACGUG